UGGAGGGCAAGUCUGGUGCCAGCAGCCGCGGUAAUUCCAGCUCCAGUAGCGUAUAUUAAAGUUGUUGCAGUUAAAAAGCUCGUAGUUGGAUCUGGGUCGUAUUGCUACGUGCCGUUGGUCGUAUCGUUGUCCUAGUCACGACUAGGAUACGUUCGUGUGACGGAGUCGUGGUGGUACCGCCUUUUUGCUGUGUCUGUGUACACAGGUGCUGGCAGUUUGUUCUGCUGGCAUGCUUCCGCGUGCCUUUAAACGGGUGUCGGGGGCGGACAGCACGUUUACUUUGAACAAAUUUGAGUGCUCAAAGCAGGCUUAUGCCUGAAAAUUCAAGCAUGGAAUAAUGAAAUAGGACUUCGGUUCUAUUUUGUUGGUUUUCGGAUCCGAAGUAAUGGUUGAGAGGGACAGACGGGGGCAUUUGUAUGGA
RNAcentral lists this ribosomal RNA (421 nucleotides) under Renicola sp. Nd1FYc1. RNAcentral describes it as "SSU rRNA". It matches the Rfam family "Eukaryotic small subunit ribosomal RNA", at positions 549 to 900 of the family's 1831-position model. Lineage: Eukaryota; Metazoa; Platyhelminthes; Trematoda; Plagiorchiida; Renicolidae. The record is from RNAcentral.